This 374-nucleotide ribosomal RNA is filed under the name uncultured prokaryote. RNAcentral describes it as "bacterial SSU rRNA". It matches the Rfam family "Bacterial small subunit ribosomal RNA", at positions 524 to 896 of the family's 1533-position model. The record is from RNAcentral.
UACGAAGGGUGCAAGCGUUACUCGGAAUUACUGGGCGUAAAGCGUGCGUAGGUGGUUUGUUAAGUCAGAUGUGAAAGCCCCGGGCUCAACCUGGGAAUUGCAUUUGAUACUGGCAGACUAGAGUGCGGUAGAGGAGAGUGGAAUUCCCGGUGUAGCAGUGAAAUGCGUAGAGAUCGGGAGGAACAUCAGUUGCGAAGGCGGCUCUCUGGACCAGCACUGACACUGAGGCACGAAAGCGUGGGGAGCAAACAGGAUUAGAUACCCUGGUAGUCCACGCCCUAAACGAUGCGAACUGGACGUUGGGAUCAAUUGAGAUUUCAGUGUCGAAGCUAACGCGUUAAGUUCGCCGCCUGGGGAGUACGGUCGCAAGACUG